AGAGUUGAUCCUGGCUUAGAACGAACGCUGGCGGCGCGUUUAAGCAUGCAAGUCGAGCGGCAAGGGCCUUCGGGCCCCUAGAGCGGCGGACGGGUGAGUAACGCGUGGGUAACCUGCCUCAUACAGGGGGAUAACAGUUAGAAAUGACUGCUAACACCGCAUAAUAUAGCGAAACCGCAUGAUUUUGCUAUCAAAUAUUUAUAGGUAUGAGAUGGGCCCGCGUCUGAUUAGCUAGUUGGUGGGGUAAAAGCCUACCAAGGCGACGAUCAGUAGCCGGCUUGAGAGAGUGACCGGCCACAUUGGGACUGAGACACGGCCCAAACUCCUACGGGAGGCAGCAGUGGGGAAUAUUGGACAAUGGGGGAAACCCUGAUCCAGCCGACGCCGCGUGAGUGAAGAAGUAUUUCGGUAUGUAAAGCUCUAUCAGCAGGGAAGAUAAUGACAGUACCUGACUAAGAAGCCCCGGCUAACUACGUGCCAGCCGCUGC
This 488-nucleotide ribosomal RNA is filed under the name uncultured bacterium. Its description in RNAcentral is "bacterial SSU rRNA". It matches the Rfam family "Bacterial small subunit ribosomal RNA", at positions 8 to 518 of the family's 1533-position model. The record is from RNAcentral.